AGAGAUGGUAAUUUGUCAGUCAGCUGAGGAAGGCAGGUCUGCCCUCAGCUAUGAGGGUGGGCAGCACCCAGCCCAAUUGCAGACCCAGACACGGGAGGUUCCUCUGUCUUCUUGGGCUGGGGCGUCCAUCUCCUCCUGCCCACAGACACAGGAGUUUCUGGUUCCCAGGCCUUGCACUCUGGGAGUGACACCAGCGGUUCCUCAAGUCUCAGGCCUUUGGGCUUGGACUGAAUGACACCACCGGCUGUUCUGGUUCACUGGCUUAGGGACAGCAGUUUGUGGGACUUCUCAGCCUCCGUGAUCAAGGAGCUGAUUCCUAUAAUAAAUCUCCUAAACAUAUCUCCCAGCGGCUCUCUUCCUCUGGAGAACCCUGACUCACAUACGGGGGCCUAGAGGUUUGGUUAUAGCAGGCCCGGGGCCCUGUUCCAGCACCUGGCAGUACCCCCAGCUGAUGGGCCCCAGCGGGGGAGGGACAGCCGGCCUGAGGGAGGUGCCUCCUGGGCCCUACCGUGGGCUCCCGUGCAGACAGGCAGGGUGGGGAGCAGGGACAAGGCUGUCCCCUCCUCUGGCCUCCGCCUACAGGUGGGACUUCUUCCCAGCCCUUUCUGUGGGUGGGGGGUGCACACGGGCAGGCCAGCCCCAGGCGCCCUCAGGACCACACCCGAGGCCUGCCCUUGGGGGAGUGGGGAUGGGGCUGGGGCCUCACCUUGCUCAGGACCCAAUCCAGGUGCAGCUGCGCUCCUGGCUUUUCUCCUGCAGGACAGAGGGGCCUGGAGUGGCCUGACCCUGCCGUGGGCAGCAUGGGCCCAGACUGACCACUCUGUUCCCAUACCUGGCUCAAGGUGGGUCGGGGGCCUUCCCAGCCUUCUCAGAGCUAACCCAGAGGAGUGCACAGGACAGCUCGUCUCCCCCGAGAGCCACAGGGAAUGCUGGACCUGCCUGAGCAGGGGGCAUAUGGGGCUCAGCACAGCACUGUGGGGCCAGGAUGGGAAGCCCCUGGUCUCUUCUGCCCCUCUUUGACCUUGAGGACUGGAACCUUGGGGAGCCUUGGGUGAGGUCCCCUCCCAGGAAAUCCUGAGCUGAGACAUCGCGGGCCCAUUUUGAGGUGGCUGUGAGGGGGUACGGGUGAGUGUACUUGGGGUUCCUUCAAGGCCAGGCCCAGCAGGUCACCUGCGGAAGGCCUUGGGCAGGUGCCCCUCCCUGUCCUGGAGCACCAUUCUUCCCCAUCGCCCCAGAGGACCAGGCCCAGGCAA
This 1253-nucleotide long non-coding RNA is filed under the name Pongo abelii (Sumatran orangutan). RNAcentral describes it as "lincRNA". The record is from RNAcentral. Lineage: Eukaryota; Metazoa; Chordata; Mammalia; Primates; Hominidae.